RNAcentral lists this ribosomal RNA (404 nucleotides) under Fusobacteriota bacterium. RNAcentral describes it as "Fusobacteria bacterium partial 16S ribosomal RNA". It matches the Rfam family "Bacterial small subunit ribosomal RNA", at positions 355 to 776 of the family's 1533-position model. The record is from RNAcentral. Lineage: Bacteria; Fusobacteriati; Fusobacteriota.
UGGGGAAUAUUGCACAAUGGAGGGAACUCUGAUGCAGCGACGCCGCGUGCGUGAUGAAGGAAUUCGUUUCGUAAAACUCUGUUCUAUGGGAAUAAAAGGACUGUACCAUAGGCGAAAGCUCCGGCUAAAUACGUGCCAGCAGCCGCGGUAAUACGUAUGGAGCGAGCGUUGUCCGGAAUUAUUGGGCGUAAAGGGUGCGCAGGCGGCUUUACAAGUUGGAUGUGAAAUAUUGUGGCUCAACCACAAACGUGCAUCCAAAACUGCAAAGCUUGAGUUAAGGAGAGGUAAGUGGAAUUCCUGGUGUAGCGGUGGAAUGCGUAGAUAUCAGGAGGAAUACCGGUGGCGAAGGCGACUUACUGGACUUAAACUGACGCUCAGGCACGAAAGCGUGGGGAGCAAACAGG